AGAGUUUGAUCCUGGCUCAGGAUGGACGCUGGCGGCGUGCCUAAUACAUGCAAGUCGAGCGAACAGAUAAGGAGCUUGCUCCUUUGACGUUAGCGGCGGACGGGUGAGUAACACUGGGUAACCUACCUAUAAGACUGGAAUAACUCCGGGAAACCGGGGCUAAUGCCGGAUAAUAUUUAGAACCGCAUGGUUCUAAAGUGAAAGAUGGUUUUGCUAUCACUUAUAGAUGGACCCGCGCCGUAUUAGCUAGUUGGUGGGGUAAUGGCUUACCAAGGCAACGAUACGUAGCCGACCUGAGAGGGUGAUCGGCCACACUGGAACUAAGACACGGUCCAGACUCCUACGGGAGGCAGCAGUAGGGAAUCUUCCGCAAUGGGCGAAAGCCUGACGGAGCAACGCCGCGUGAGUGAUGAAGGUCUUCGGAUCGUAAAACUCUGUUAUUAGGGAAGAACAAAUGUGUAAGUAACUGUGCACGUCUUGACGGUACCUAAUCAGAAAGCCACGGCUAACUACGUG
This 516-nucleotide ribosomal RNA is filed under the name uncultured Staphylococcus sp. RNAcentral describes it as "bacterial SSU rRNA". It matches the Rfam family "Bacterial small subunit ribosomal RNA", at positions 8 to 507 of the family's 1533-position model. Lineage: Bacteria; Bacillati; Bacillota; Bacilli; Caryophanales; Staphylococcaceae. The record is from RNAcentral.